Anopheles coluzzii is the source of this 2089-nucleotide long non-coding RNA. RefSeq lists it as uncharacterized. The transcript has 2 exons. The record is from RefSeq and is a predicted model, not a curated record. Lineage: Eukaryota; Metazoa; Arthropoda; Insecta; Diptera; Culicidae.
GCAUGGUGGUUUUUAAAUCUUUUUUGUUGAAUAACGUAUUUUUGCUUUUAAAAUAACUUCGACCACAGCGAAUUAAAUCAAUUUUGUUAAUCAGUGCAAAUAGAACCAGAACCGAUUACUCUUACAAGACUGUUAAAAGGACGGAAAGAUACCUAAAUAUAAUCGAGAUAUUAGACCUUUUGUGAUUCUAACCUUUCUAACACAAACUUAGACUAUAAGGAUGUCUUCAACUUCUUUCGGGGUGUUUUGUGACAAAUUGUCCGCAGAUCAAUAACAUCGCUUCCGUACCAUUUUUUUCAUUUAUUUUAUUUCAUUUCCUUUUUUUGCUUAUGUUUCCUUGUUUUCCGCUCCAUGUUAUGGGUGUAUGUGUGAUCUCGAUCUCUUCUAUGCCCUUUUCUCUCUCUCCCUUCUCCUUCCCGACUGUGAAUGUUCAAUUUUCUCUUUAAUAACUGUAUCGUGUUCUCCCACCAAUAUGCAUUCUGUUUUCUUGUUUCUUGCACUUGUUACUAAAAAAUAUAAAAAAGAAGUUGUAACUUUGCUGAAUAUGUCUCCCCCCAUUCUCUGUUGCUGUUGCACACAUACUGCUCUCGCUGGUUUUCUUCCCUCACAACGGUGCGAAUAGAUAUAAUAGGCUGUAUGAUAAUAGUAAUAAUAAAUAGAGGAAGCGAACACAUAUCCUUCUUGGUUUAAAUGUUUGUUUUCUCCCCCUUGUUUUUGUGAUCUUGCAACUCCAUCAAUUCUGCAUGUUGCACAGUAGUACACACACCCAACAGAAGUGUGUGUGUGUGUGUGGGGGGUUAUAAUUGGUUGCCCGGCUUUAACACGUUUGUCUAAUAGUAUUAUUACGUCUGCACGCCAUCAAGUGAACAAGCAAAACAAUCGAAGCAAAACUGAAUUGCCAAACGAAAACAAAAUAUCAAAACAAGAAAAGAGCUAACGUAACUCUGUCCCUCCGUUCGUCCCGCGGAAGCAAAUCGGGCGCACGGUUAUUCAUUUCUUUGUGGUUUUUGGUGGCCACAACUGUCGCCACUGUCACUGCAAAAGUAGUAUGUUGAUGGUAAUGUGUGUAACUGUUUAGAGUUUGAGAUGAACGACGUGGCGUGACGCUCCCGAGCGAUGCAACGCGCACGCAAAAGGUUUGAAAGAUGAUCGAUAUCGUGCGCAUCACAUCAAACCCCGGGAGAGCGGAAGGGUGUCGGGGACAAUGGGCUUUACAUUAUGCUAAGUGUCCUUUUAUAUGGUUGUUGCAGUGCGCACUGUGCUGGUGGCUGACAGGCCCGAACGGAAUGGUUCAAAAUCGGGUAACACAAACAGCCCCAGACACGCACAUCGUCAUUUGAGUGAGCGCAGGCACACUUCGUACCCAGAUUCGCACAUUGUUUUACUUUUGCAGUUUUUUGUUUUGUUUGUUGUGAUCUCCCGUUUUAUUAUUAGUUGCAAUUGUUCCUUCCUUCUUUUGCGUUUUGUUUACCUAAACAUCGUUUCAUUAUCUGUAAUUAUACAUAUAUAUUUCCAUUCACCCCACGUUUCUUCCGCAAGCAAGCAGCAGCAGCAGCAGUAGAGCGUGGCGCGUGAUAUUGUCCUUCCCCAUUCAUGUCUUUAGAGUCUCCUCCUCAUCGAUGUUUGUGAAUGUCACCAGUUUUAUCCUUGCUGUAAUUUUAGUCGCGUGUGAAAGAGUGUGUAUGUCUAUGUGCUGUCUUUACUCGUUUGUCUUUCCGCUUUCCGAACGGAAAACCACAGGGAAAGCAUUGAUAAUUGCACAUGCAACGUGGACUUAGGGACGACAAUAAUAAUAAUAAUGCGGUAUUGCCUAUACGCACACGGUUUCGUCCCACAAGUGUUGGGGAGACAGGUCAUGCGAUGGAUGUUACACGUUCGAGUACGUUGUUACAUGCUACAACAGAGAAAGGAGUGUACACGCGCGCACGCACUUUUGAGGAGGCUUAUAUUUCAUCCUUUAAAUGUUUCCACACCUUCGUACCCUGCCUGCCACACACACACACACACGACGCAUUGCCUAUUCUCGCGCCCUUAUCAAAACCUCCUCCCAAUCGUGUGAGUGUGUACGUGUGUGUGUGUGUGUGUUUGU